GAUGAAGAACGCAGCGAAAUGCGAUACGUAAUGUGAAUUGCAGAAUUCAGUGAAUCAUCGAAUCUUUGAACGCAUAUUGCGCUCUCUGGUAUUCCGGAGAGCAUGCUUGUUUGAGUAUCAGUAAACACCUCAACUUCCAUAUCUUUUUUGAAAUGGGAGUUGGACUUGAGUGAUCCCAACGCUUUUCCUCACCGAAAAGUGGCGGGUUACUUGAAAUGCAGGUGCAGCUGGACUUUUCUCUGAGCUAUAAGCAUAUCUAUUUAGUCUGCCUAAAAAACAGAUUAUUACCUUUGCUGCAGCUAACAUAAAGGAGAUUAGUUCUUGUGCUGACUGAUGCAGGAUUCACAAAGACAGCUUCGGCCGACUUUGUAAACUCGAUCUCAAAUCAAGUAAGACUACCCGCUGAACUUAAGCAUACAAUAAGCGGAGGA
Molecule: unclassified non-coding RNA, 431 nt
Filed under: soil metagenome
Description: partial contains 5.8S ribosomal RNA, internal transcribed spacer 2, and large subunit ribosomal RNA
Rfam family: 5.8S ribosomal RNA (bases 1-120)
Source: RNAcentral